UACGGGGGGGACGCAAGCGUUAUCCGGAAUUACUGGGCGUAAAGGGCGCGUAGGCGGUCGUGACAAGUCACUUGUGAAAUCUCCGGGCUUAACUCGGAACGGUCAAGUGAUACUGUCGGACUAGAGUACAGAAGGGGCAACUGGAAUUCUCGGUGUAGCGGUGAAAUGCGUAGAUAUUGGGAGGAACACCAGUGGCGAAGGCGGCUCACUGGACCGGUACUGACGCUGAGGCGCG
RNAcentral lists this ribosomal RNA (235 nucleotides) under uncultured bacterium. RNAcentral describes it as "partial 16S ribosomal RNA". It matches the Rfam family "Bacterial small subunit ribosomal RNA", at positions 522 to 755 of the family's 1533-position model. The record is from RNAcentral.